This 255-nucleotide ribosomal RNA is filed under the name uncultured bacterium. Its description in RNAcentral is "partial 16S ribosomal RNA". It matches the Rfam family "Bacterial small subunit ribosomal RNA", at positions 524 to 775 of the family's 1533-position model. The record is from RNAcentral.
CACGUAGGGUGCGAGCGUUGUCCGGAAUUAUUGGGCGUAAAGAGCUCGUAGGCGGUGUGUCGCGUCGGCCGUGAAAACCUGCAGCUUAACUGUGGGCUUGCGGUCGAUACGGGCAUCACUGGAGUUCGGCAGGGGAGACUGGAAUUCCUGGUGUAGCGGUGAAAUGCGCAGAUAUCAGGAGGAACACCGGUGGCGAAGGCGGGGUCUCUGGGCCGAUACUGACGCUGAGGAGCGAAAGCGUGGGGGAGCGAACAG